RNAcentral lists this transfer RNA (76 nucleotides) under Riemerella anatipestifer. Its description in RNAcentral is "tRNA-Ile". The record is from RNAcentral. Lineage: Bacteria; Pseudomonadati; Bacteroidota; Flavobacteriia; Flavobacteriales; Weeksellaceae.
AGUCUCGUAGCUCAGCUGGUUAGAAAGGCUACACUGAUAAUGUAGAGGUCGGCAGUUCGAGCCUGCCUCGAGACUA